Syngnathus acus (greater pipefish) is the source of this 276-nucleotide long non-coding RNA. RefSeq lists it as uncharacterized. Lineage: Eukaryota; Metazoa; Chordata; Actinopteri; Syngnathiformes; Syngnathidae. The record is from RefSeq and is a predicted model, not a curated record. The transcript has 3 exons.
GGCACGCCACAUUUUGAAAGUGAGAAUGUCAACCUUCAUUCCAAAAUCCAUAUGCCAUACCAUCAAACCGUAUAGUAAAAUAAAGUGCUUGCAUCCUCUCCACUGGUUGACCAGCUGCAGAGGAAGCAAUCAAAGUUGUUCUGUUUUCCCCAACGUCGUAAAACGCCCCCUGCUCUGGUUUGACCAGAGGCCGGGGGUUCACCAAACCUGUCCACUCUCACCCCCACACUGUUUUCUCUCAAUAAAUAUGCCCUUGCAAGAGGGAGAGUUCAGACA